This 207-nucleotide long non-coding RNA is filed under the name Lathyrus oleraceus (garden pea). RNAcentral's name for it is "Pisum sativum (pea) long non-coding RNA (PSAT_LNC026336)". Lineage: Eukaryota; Viridiplantae; Streptophyta; Magnoliopsida; Fabales; Fabaceae. The record is from RNAcentral.
UUCAUUUUCGCUUCGCAUUUUAUUCAACCCUCUGAUUGGAGCAGGUUUUUAUUGCUUGCCUUUAUCUAUUUUAUUUUCCCGCACUGUCUUUACUUUAUUUAUUUCCCGCACUCGCUUUACUUUAUUUAUUUCUCGCACUCGCUUUACUUUAUUUAUUCUCGCACUCGCUUUACUUUAUUUAUUUCUUGCACUCGCUUUACUUUAUUU